CUGAAAUCCUGAAGGAUGAAACUAGUCUGUGAGCCCAAGGAGUUUGGGAACCACUUCCUAGAGCAUGUCUCAAAGAUAGCCAACCUCCUGGUUUAAAGACCUCCACAUGAAUAACUUGAGUUUGCCAUAAAGCACUAGUUACUUUUUGCAGGAAUUUUUGAUAGUUUAUUUCCUGAAAACCCAAGUCUUUUCACAAAAAUAAAGUUAAGGUUUUUAAAAAUUUGAAAAAUGGUUUGACGACAAACUCUGAGGUGGUUCUUGAAUGAAACAUCGAUUUUGGUCUAAGUUAUUUAUUUUCACAGUUCAAGAGUUGUCUUUUAGUUCUAGUUUGGAUUUUUCUUAUGCCACCUUCCAACUACCGGAUCUUGUUAUGCCUUUGUCUGUUAACUUGGAGAGAGACCUUCUUUUCUGGGUAGGUACUUGACUUAAAAACUAAGGUCUUUUUCUGCACUCAGUCUUGUCCCCACCCCCAUCUGUGAAGCAACGAUGAAGCCUAUAUGAACACUAAAAUAUAAAACCUUGGCUUUCCUGUGUCUGAGAUGAGUCAGAACUUCCUGAUUAUUGCCAGCUCUCACAAACUGCUUCUCUGUAAGUAACACCAUAAGAAUUGCAAUUCAAGUGUAAUACGAGUGAAAGUACUAUAGAUUGAAUUCUAUAGUCUCUUACAGCUUUCAGCAUCAGGGCUCUGAGUGUACCAACCAGACAGUACUUCAUACUGUCUCUAUGGAGUGACCUCAGUAGCGUCCCCCGUCUUCUGAAUGGAAUCAAAGUAGGCUGGGAUUGUAGGUAACCAAAAGAUUUGGAAUGGCAGUGACUCACAACUGUUCACACUUGGAAAGAUGCACUUUUCCCAGCUCAUUUAUGGCUUGUCCCAUGAAGCCACGGGAAUGCUGGGAGAAGGACUGCCCAAGAAGAGACUGGAGCCCCGAGUCUCCCCUUGCUUGCACUGAGGGCAAAGUUGGCCCCACAUUUUGCCAUGAAUUUGAUAUUUUCACCCAUGGGAGUGAAAUCCAGUGCUCUUAUUUGAAUUUUUGGAGGAAGACGGUUGGAGAGACGUGAGGCAGAGGGACUUCCCCUCCCUUUCUUCAGAAGUUUUCCUCAUUGGAGUACUGAAUAUGACCUGGAGGAUAUGUGUUGAUGGUCCUAGAGAGACACCAGUCAGAUUUGGGAAAUUACUUCUUCUCACGGAGAAAACGAAAAAUGAGGUUUGAUUUUCUUUUUACUAUUGCUUUGCUUCAAAAGUAUUGCCUUAUAAUUUAACACAUCUGAAUUUUUUCUAUGCAGGAAACAUGUUGCUUCGGUUUUAGUCAAUGAGUGAAAACUUCUAAAUAAUCUAAAGGGUUACCAUAGGUGUAAUGAGACCACCCGGGUGGUUGAUGUGCUUCUUGGAAAGCAGUCGAAACAUUAUAGAAUGGUCCAUGAGAUGAAAGGAAUAUGGCAAUGCGGCCAUUGGCAGUUGGAUAGAGGUACUGAAUAGUGGGUGGUAUCAAUACUGAUUAAAUGGGUGGAGUUAUGAACUGAUGAGGGAAAAGGCUCUACUCAUUAACAAAAUCUUGAAGGUG
RNAcentral lists this long non-coding RNA (1562 nucleotides) under Crocodylus porosus (Australian saltwater crocodile). Its description in RNAcentral is "lncRNA (ENSCPRG00005006633.1)". Lineage: Eukaryota; Metazoa; Chordata; Crocodylia; Crocodylidae. The record is from RNAcentral.